Molecule: ribosomal RNA, 488 nt
Filed under: uncultured bacterium
Lineage: Bacteria
Description: bacterial SSU rRNA
Rfam family: Bacterial small subunit ribosomal RNA
Source: RNAcentral
AGCGAACGUUGGCGGCGCGCCUAACACAUGCAAGUCGAACGCGAAAGAUCUUCGGAUCGAGUAGCGUGGCGCACGGGUGAGUAACACGUGAUUAACCUACCCUUUGGUCUGGGAUAACAUGCCGAAAGGCGUGCUAAUACUGGAUGAGACCACGGCCCCUGCGGGGGCUGCGAGAAAAGCGGGGGAGCGAAAGCGCCUCGCGCCGAAGGAUGGGGUCGCGGCCUAUCAGCUAGUUGGCGGGGUAACAGCCCACCAAGGCGAUGACGGGUAGCUGGUCUUGAGAGGAUGAUCAGCCACACUGGAACUGAGACACGGUCCAGACUCCUACGGGAGGCAGCAGUGGGGAAUUUUGGACAAUGGGCGAAAGCCUGAUCCAGCGACGCCGCGUGUGCGAUGAAGGCCUUUGGGUCGUAAAGCACUGUCGACAGGGAAGAAAACUCGGUGGAUAACACCCACCGGGCUUGACUGUACCUGUGGAGGAAGCACCG